Molecule: transfer RNA, 87 nt
Filed under: Candidatus Woesearchaeota archaeon
Lineage: Archaea; Nanobdellati; Candidatus Woesearchaeota
Description: tRNA-Val
Rfam family: tRNA
About the family: Transfer RNA (tRNA) molecules are approximately 80 nucleotides in length.
Source: RNAcentral
GGGCCGGUGGUCUAGUGGCUAAGUUAUUCCAUAAAUGACAAGACGUUUACACCGUCUAGAUCGAAGGUUCAAAUCCUUCUCGGCCCA